This is a long non-coding RNA of Zingiber officinale, 374 nucleotides long. RefSeq lists it as uncharacterized. Lineage: Eukaryota; Viridiplantae; Streptophyta; Magnoliopsida; Zingiberales; Zingiberaceae. The transcript is spliced from 3 exons. The record is from RefSeq and is a predicted model, not a curated record.
CGACGCUGAUCCACCUCCGCCGGCCACUGGUCCGAUAGCGCCGGCCAAACUCCUCUGGCCUAGUUGCAUUCGGUGUCGCUGCCGUCUCUCAACCCGAACCAACGCCGUCGUCACCUGUGCCCUAGCGCCGGCGACUGAGUUUCCUCUGUGCCCUAGUUUUUACUCUCCACGGUUGUACUGUCUAUGUUGUUACUGUGCCCUAGCUGAGGAUUCAAAGGAGGUGCAGCGGGUUUACUAUGGUUUUUGGCUGAGUUUCCAGCAGCAUACAGUUUCAUCUCUUCAAUUGUGGGUCAACAACAAUUCAUCUGGUUUUAGGACUGUGAUUCGAGACGGACAUCUCGACAUCGGAAUUGGUUGGAUUCGAUCUAUACUGG